Molecule: ribosomal RNA, 253 nt
Filed under: uncultured bacterium
Lineage: Bacteria
Description: partial 16S ribosomal RNA
Rfam family: Bacterial small subunit ribosomal RNA
Source: RNAcentral
UACGGGGGGGGUAAGCGUUGUUCGGAAUUACUGGGCGUAAAGGGCUCGUAGGUGGCCAACUAAGUCAGACGUGAAAUCCCUCAGCUUAACUGGGGAACUGCGUCUGAUACUGGAUGGCUUGGAUUUGGGAGAGGGAUGCGGAAUUCCAGGUGUAGCGGUGAAAUGCGUAGAUAUCUGGAGGAACACCGGUGGCGAAGGCGGCAUCCUGGACCAAUAUUGACGCUGAGGAGCGAAAGCCAGGGGAGCAAACGGG